RNAcentral lists this ribosomal RNA (421 nucleotides) under uncultured Flammeovirga sp. RNAcentral's name for it is "bacterial SSU rRNA". It matches the Rfam family "Bacterial small subunit ribosomal RNA", at positions 353 to 772 of the family's 1533-position model. The record is from RNAcentral. Lineage: Bacteria; Pseudomonadati; Bacteroidota; Cytophagia; Cytophagales; Flammeovirgaceae.
AGUAGGGAAUAUUGGUCAAUGGAGGCAACUCUGAACCAGCCAUGCCGCGUGAACGAUGAAGGCCUUCGGGUUGUAAAGUUCUUUUGUAUGGGAAGAAACUCACUCUUGCGAGAGUGCUUGACGGUACCAUAAGAAUAAGCACCGGCUAACUCCGUGCCAGCAGCCGCGGUAAUACGGAGGGUGCAAGCGUUGUCCGGAAUUAUUGGGUUUAAAGGGUGCGCAGGCGGUUUUGUCAGUCAGAGGUUAAAGACCGGAGCUUAACUCCGAGUUUGCCUUUGAUACUGCAAGACUUGAAAUACAUAUGGGUAGGCGGAAUUCCUCAUGUAGCGGUGAAAUGCACAGAUAUGAGGAGGAAGACCGAAGGCGAAGGCAGCUUACUGGGUGUUAUUUGACGCUGAGGCACGAAAGCGUGGGGAGCGAA